UGCGUAGGCGGAAUGAUAAGUUAGUGGUGAAAGCCCCCGGCUCAACCGGGGAACUGCCAUUAAUACUGUCAUUCUUGAGUAUAGUUGAAGUGGGCGGAAUGUAUCAUGUAGCGGUGAAAUGCUUUGAUAUGAUACAGAACACCGAUAGCGUAGGCAGCUUGCUAAACUAUAACUGACGCUCAGGCACGAAAGCGUGGGGAGCAAACAGGAUUAGAUACCCUGGUAGUCC
RNAcentral lists this ribosomal RNA (229 nucleotides) under uncultured bacterium. RNAcentral describes it as "partial 16S ribosomal RNA". It matches the Rfam family "Bacterial small subunit ribosomal RNA", at positions 568 to 796 of the family's 1533-position model. The record is from RNAcentral.